GACGAACGCUGGCGGCGUGCCUAAUACAUGCAAGUUGAGCGCUGAAGGUUGGUACUUGUACCAACUGGAUGAGCAGCGAACGGGUGAGUAACGCGUGGGUAAUCUGCCUUUGAGCAGGGGACAACAUUUGGAAACGAAUGCUAAUACCGCAUAAAAACUUUAAACACAAGUUUUAAGUUUGAAAGAUGCAAUUGCAUCACUCAAAGAUGAUCCCGCGUUGUAUUAGCUAGUUGGUGAGGUAAAGGCUCACCAAGGCGAUGAUACAUAGCCGACCUGAGAGGGUGAUCGGCCAAAUUGGGACUGAGACACGGCCCAAACUCCUACGGGAGGCAGCAGUAGGGAAUCUUCGGCAAUGGACGAAAGUCUGACCGAGCAACGCCGCGUGAGUGAAGAAGGUUUUCGGAUCGUAAAACUCUGUUGGUAGAGAAGAACGUUGGUGAGAGUGGAAAGCUCACCAAGUGACGGUAACUACCCAGAAAGGGACGGCUAACUACGUG
RNAcentral lists this ribosomal RNA (497 nucleotides) under uncultured bacterium. Its description in RNAcentral is "partial 16S ribosomal RNA". It matches the Rfam family "Bacterial small subunit ribosomal RNA", at positions 28 to 507 of the family's 1533-position model. The record is from RNAcentral.